Molecule: long non-coding RNA, 578 nt
Filed under: Gallus gallus (chicken)
Lineage: Eukaryota; Metazoa; Chordata; Aves; Galliformes; Phasianidae
Source: RNAcentral
GAAAGGGCUUCUUUGCUGCUCUUGCUUAGCCCUAAGUAUGUCACCAUGGACAUAACAGGUGCUGCCAAUGCAAAGACCAGCAAGUGUUUUCUAAUUCGAUUCCGUUCCAACCCAGCAUGCAUCAGGAAGGAAACCAGGCCAAAGGCAGCUGGUGCCUUGUGCAGCAUAAUUGCAACAAACACUAUCAACUGGACACUAGUCUGAGAAGUAGAAGCUGCUGCACCCAAUGCAACACCAUCAGCUGCAGCAUGGACCACUAAUCCCAGCGUUGUGGUGAUUUUGGAAUUGCCUGAUCUAGCAGCUUCUGGAUCAUCUGUUGAGUGCACAUGAGAGCUGCCUAUCUGGUCAACCAGAAGCAUGAAGACAAAGCCAAGGACAAGCGAAACACCAAUGUAUGCGUGCAACCUGGAAUGGUCAUGGCCAUACUCAUGUACAACAGCGAUUUCGGCGACCUUCUCAGACUCCAUCACAUGCUGCAUCUCAUUUGCUGGGUGAUGCUUCCCCUCCAAAAUGUCUUCAUAAAGUGCAUGUACUCCUUCCGGCACAAUGACAGCCAAGGCAGUUCCACACAGCAGCCC